GUACACUCCUGCGGGAGGCAGCAGUGGGGAAUUUUGGACAAUGGGCGCAAGCCUGAUCCAGCCAUGCCGCGUGCGGGAAGAAGGCCUUCGGGUUGUAAACCGCUUUUGUCAGGGAAGAAAAGGUUCUGGCUAAUACCUGGGACUCAUGACGGUACCUGAAGAAUAAGCACCGGCUAACUACGUGCCAGCAGCCGCGGUAAUACGUAGGGUGCAAGCGUUAAUCGGAAUUACUGGGCGUAAAGCGUGCGCAGGCGGUUAUGCAAGACAGAGGUGAAAUCCCCGGGCUCAACCUGGGAACUGCCUUUGUGACUGCAUGGCUAGAGUACGGUAGAGGGGGAUGGAAUUCCGCGUGUAGCAGUGAAAUGCGUAGAUAUGCGGAGGAACACCGAUGGCGAAGGCAAUCCCCUGGACCUGUACUGACGCUCAUGCACGAAAGCGUGGGGAGCAAACAGGAUUAGAUACCCUGGUAGUCCCA
This 475-nucleotide ribosomal RNA is filed under the name uncultured organism. RNAcentral describes it as "partial 16S ribosomal RNA". It matches the Rfam family "Bacterial small subunit ribosomal RNA", at positions 331 to 797 of the family's 1533-position model. The record is from RNAcentral.